AACGAACGCUGGCGGCAGGCUUAACACAUGCAAGUCGAACGCCCUGUUUACAGGGAGUGGCAAACGGGUGAGUAACACGUGGGAAUAUACCUUUUGGUCUGGGACAACAGUUGGAAACGACUGCUAAUACCGGAUGUGCUCUACGGAGGAAAGAUUUAUCGCCAAAGAUUAGCCCGCGCUAGAUUAGUUUGUUGGUGAGGUAAUGGCUCACCAAGACUACGAUCUAUAGCUGGUCUGAGAGGAUGAUCAGCCACACUGGGACUGAGAUACGGCCCAG
Molecule: ribosomal RNA, 277 nt
Filed under: uncultured bacterium
Lineage: Bacteria
Description: partial 16S ribosomal RNA
Rfam family: Bacterial small subunit ribosomal RNA
Source: RNAcentral